This 887-nucleotide long non-coding RNA is filed under the name Homo sapiens (human). RNAcentral's name for it is "non-protein coding lnc-ZNF680-17:1". Lineage: Eukaryota; Metazoa; Chordata; Mammalia; Primates; Hominidae. The record is from RNAcentral.
UCAUUCAAAAGUGCCUUCUUUGCCCAAGCUGAUGUUGGAGUCUCCACCAACAUCCUCCUCUUUUUCUCUUGUAUCAUGACGCUCCUUCUGGAUCUCAAGCUCACUGACCUGACCACCAGUCACUUGGACCUCGUCCACAUCAUGAUGCUGCUCACCAUUGUGUUCUUGGUGUCUCAAGACCUUUUUAAGUCCCUUCAUUUUCAAGAUGAUUUCAAGUGUAAGAUGCAUUUCUAGGUGAGCGGGGUGAUGAGGGACUCUCCAUCUGCAUCACCUGCCUCCUGAGCAUGCUCCAGGCCAUCAUCAUCAGCCCCAGGACCUCCUGGUUGGUGAGGUUUAAAUAUAAAUUCACAAAUCACAUUUCACAUGUUCUUGUCUUCUUAUGGUCCUUCAGUUUGUCCUGCAGUAGUUACAUAAUCUUCUACACUGUGGUUUCUUCCAAUACGACUCACACCAGUUUUCUGACACUCAAUAAAUACUGCCUCAUUUCCCCAAGGAAGUCAUCAUCAGCCACCUUAUUUUUCUUACUCUCUCAUUAUCCAGAGAUGUGUCCUUUGUGGGAAUUAUGCUGCUCUCCAGUGCAUACAUAGUGACUCUCUUGUGCAGGCAUCAGUGGUGAUCCCAGCACCUUCACAGCACCAGACUCUCCCCAAGAGUUUCUCCAGAAAAAGGCCACAGAGACCAUCUUGCUGUUGGUGAGUUUCUUUGUGGUCAUGUACCAGAUGGAUUUGAGUCUCUCAUCCUACUCAAUCCUGAUAUCAACAUAUGACCCAGUCGUCCUGGGUGUCCAGAGGCAUGUGACCAGUGCCUAUGCCACUGUGAGCCCUUUGGUGCUAAUAAGGUCUGAAAAAAGGAUAACUGAUAUUCUGCAAAUGAUGAGACAGAAGUAU